UCCAGACUCCUACGGGAGGCAGCAGUGGGGGAUAUUGCACAAUGGGGGAAACCCUGAUGCAGCGACGCCGCGUGAGUGAAGAAGUCUUUCGGUAUGUAAAGCUCUCUCAGCAGGGAAGAAAAAAGACGGUACCUGACUAAGAAGCCCCGGCUAACUACGUGCCAGCAGCCGCGGUACUACGUAGGGGGCAAGCGUUAACCGGAUUUACUGGGUGUAAAGGGAGCGUAGACGGCAAUACAAGUCGGAAGUGAAAUACCCGGGCUUAACCUGGGAACUGCUUUGGAAACUGGAUGGCUGGAGUGCUGGAGAGGUAAGCGGAAUUCCUAGUGUAGCGGUGAAAUGCGUAGAUAUUAGGAGGAACACCAGUGGCGAAGGCGGCUUACUGGACAGUAACUGACGUUGAGGCUCGAAAGCGUGGGGAGCAAACAGGAUUAGAUACCCGAGUACA
RNAcentral lists this ribosomal RNA (448 nucleotides) under uncultured bacterium. RNAcentral describes it as "bacterial SSU rRNA". It matches the Rfam family "Bacterial small subunit ribosomal RNA", at positions 330 to 797 of the family's 1533-position model. The record is from RNAcentral.